AUUGAACGCUGGCGGCAUGCUUUACACAUGCAAGUCGAACGGUAGGGUCGCAAUACCUGAGAGUGGCGAACGGGUGAGUAAUGCAUCGGAACAUGCCUAUUGGUGGGGGAUAGCCCGGCGAAAGCCGGAUUAAUACCGCAUACGAUCUACGGAUGAAAGCUGGGGACCGCAAGGCCUAGCGCACAUAGAGUGGCGGAUGUCUGAUUAGCUGGUUGGUGGGGUAAAGGCGCAACAAGGAAACGAUCUGUAGCUGGUUUGAGAGAACGACCAGCCCCACUGGGACUGAGACACGGCCCAGAAUCCUACGGCAGGCAGCAGUGGGGAAUUUUGGACAAUGGGCGAAGUCCUGAUCCAGCAAUGCCGAGGGCAGGAUGAAGGCCUUCGGGUUGUAAACUGCUUUUGUACGGAACGAGACGCCUCUGGUUAAUACCCGGGGCUAAUGACGGUACCGUAAGAAUAAGCACCGGCUAACUACGUGCCAGCCGCCGCCGUAA
This 494-nucleotide ribosomal RNA is filed under the name uncultured bacterium. RNAcentral's name for it is "partial 16S ribosomal RNA". It matches the Rfam family "Bacterial small subunit ribosomal RNA", at positions 30 to 523 of the family's 1533-position model. The record is from RNAcentral.